Molecule: ribosomal RNA, 773 nt
Filed under: uncultured bacterium
Lineage: Bacteria
Description: bacterial SSU rRNA
Rfam family: Bacterial small subunit ribosomal RNA
Source: RNAcentral
CCUGGCGGCGGCUUACACAUGCAAGUCGAGCGAAGCCUUCGGGCUUAGCAGCGGACGGGUGAGUAACGCGUGGGAACGUGCCCCUUGGUACGGAAUAGUCCCUGGAAACGGGGUUUAAUACCGUAUGGUGUCUUCGGACUAAAGAUUUAUCGCCAAGGGAUCGGCCCGCGUUGGAUUAGGUAGUUGGUGGGGUAAUGGCCUACCAAGCCGACGAUCCAUAGCUGGUUUGAGAGGAUGAUCAGCCACACUGGGACUGAGACACGGCCCAGACUCCUACGGGAGGCAGCAGUGGGGAAUCUUAGACAAUGGGGGAAACCCUGAUCUAGCCAUGCCGCGUGAGCGAUGAAGGCCUUAGGGUUGUAAAGCUCUUUCGCUGGGGAAGAUAAUGACGGUACCCAGUAAAGAAGCCCCGGCUAACUCCGUGCCAGCAGCCGCGGUAAUACGGAGGGGGCUAGCGUUGUUCGGAAUUACUGGGCGUAAAGCGCGCGUAGGCGGACUGGAAAGUUGGGGGUGAAAUCCCUGGGCUCAACCCCGGAACUGCCUCCAAAACUAUCAGUCUGGAGUUCGAGAGAGGUGAGUGGAAUUGCGAGUGUAGAGGUGAAAUUCGUAGAUAUUCGCAGGAACACCAGUGGCGAAGGCGGCUCACUGGCUCGAUACCGACGCUGAGGUGCGAAAGUGUGGGGAGCAAACAGGAUUAGAUACCCUGGUAGUCCACACCGUAAACGAUGAAUGCCAGUCGUCGGGCAGCAUGCUGUUCGGUGACACACCUAACG